CCUACGGGAGACAGCAGUGAGGAAUAUUGGUCAAUGGGAGAGAUCCUGAACCAGCCAAGCCGCGUGAGGGAAGACGGCCCUAUGGGUUGUAAACCUCUUUUGUCGGAGAACAAAACGCGGGACGUGUCCCGGACUGCGUGUAUCCGAAGAAAAAGCAUCGGCUAACUCCGUGCCAGCAGCCGCGGUAAUACGGAGGAUGCGAGCGUUAUCCGGAUUUAUUGGGUUUAAGGGGUGCGUAGGCGGUCCGUUAAGUCAGCGGUAAAAUUGCGGGGCUCAACCCCGUCGAGCCGUUGAAACUGGUAGACGUGAGUUGGCGAGAAGUACGCGGAAUGUGCAGUGUAGCGGUGAAAUGCAUAGAUAUCGCGCAGAACUCCGAUUGCGAAGGCAGCGUACCGGCGCCAGACUGACGCUGAGGCACGAAAGCGUGGGGAUCGAACAGGAUUAGAUACCCUAGUAGUC
Molecule: ribosomal RNA, 459 nt
Filed under: uncultured bacterium
Lineage: Bacteria
Description: partial 16S ribosomal RNA
Rfam family: Bacterial small subunit ribosomal RNA
Source: RNAcentral